Molecule: long non-coding RNA, 1865 nt
Organism: Cephus cinctus (wheat stem sawfly)
Lineage: Eukaryota; Metazoa; Arthropoda; Insecta; Hymenoptera; Cephidae
Exons: 3
Source: RefSeq, a predicted model, not a curated record
CGUUACGUAAAGGAGUUGAAUUACGUUGAACACGGGCGAUACGUGGAGUCUGACAGACGUAUUUUAUAAUAAAGAGAAGUAACCUGGUGGGUGCCAAAUAGUAUUAUAAAUGCCGACAGUACCGUGAUGCAUUGGAAUGGCUAAAAGAGAAAUGGGUGUGGGAGUUUAAUUAAACGUUAGAUCCGUAUAAUUAUACAAUCGUUAUUUCGACAAAUUGUACCCGGGAACCGUGGACUAUCGCGUACCUAGAUCUACCCUAUCUCACGAAGGACAAUUACGAAUUUCGUGUAAGAGCGAGAUGAAUUAAGAGAAGGGAAAUAGAGCAUGCCGACAAGGGAGCUCGAGAGGAAGACAAGGAGCCAUGCUGAAAAACGUCUUGAGCACUGGAAGUAUGGCUACUCGAACUAUCACGCCAUAGAAACCUGAGACAAAAGGGAAGUGGAACUGUAAAGGAGCAUUCGUCCAGUGUGUGCCCUUAAAAGAACUCUUAAUGAACAAGGGUGAAGUACUCUACCACCAGGUAGACUAUAAACUCCCUAUGUCUUUACCAAGCAACACGUGGACAGUACCAAGCACUUAGUACGUACGUAUACACUGCAUCCCCUACCUUCUCCAGCACAGGACACGUAGUCACCUCUCGUCUACAGGGGGUAGAUUCACCGGCAUAUGGCAUCCAGAAUAAAUUUCAUCACCAGAAGUUCUAGAAUGAAAAAAAAAAGAAUACGAGAAAACCAUACACAAUCCACACGAGUUCCAGUUUCAUCCAAAAGGAUCCUGAAUAGCCAAGGCAGAUGCUUCAAGUAUUUUUGGUAUGUCUACGCCCGUGCACGGCAGCCUCGCUCGUCGUCGGCGCUUAUAAUAAGAGUAAUAAACGAAUUAAAGAGGGUGCCCGCCACGCCACUUUACGGCCCCGAGACUCUUCACUUUGGUUAGGGUGGUCCUUUAACUGGUUCAAUUAGACUAUCCAUCCCUGCCAGGGUUAAACUCCUGGUUAUACACGUUCUCUGCACACCAGAAUAUAUUACAUACGAUCACGCAGUUCUUACACGUCUUCAUCUACGUACGAUACAUAUAUACAUAAUCUACGGAUGUCUCAUUGUAUGAAAUACAUAAAUUUAUAAAAUAUAUAUCUUAAUUACAUAGCACUACGUAUAUACGAAUUCUACUUGGCAACGACAAGAGCUUGCCACUAGAUAAACAUCUUCCCGAGGUCGGCACUUCGCUCUCAUCUCUCCCUUCCUGAUGUGGCUUAACUUCCUACGUGGCCGUUAGUUCCAACCCGGACAGGGUAUUCCUACACCCAGAGUAUGUACAUACACGCGAGGAGAGUGCCGCAGUGCGUACGUAACGCGUAACUACUGUCCCCGGAGCUUUGUGGCUUUGGAGCUUUGUGCAUUCUCCGAAACAAUAGGUCUACGAAGAGGUUAGGAAGGGUGUGUUUGUGACACCCGUUAGAUAAACAGAGCUGGAUAUCGCACUGGGGAUAUCAUCCCUUAUGAAAUCCGCGUUCCUCGAUGAUCCUACUAGCCCGAAUCGACCUGUAACAAUAGAAUACUGUUAAUUACCAAAAUUAUGUAAAAAUAAUAAUAAAAAUACCAAUUAUAUAAAUAUAAUAAUAAUUUAACGCCAGAAGCAUGCGUCAAAAGAUAUUUAACAUUUACAAAACACCCUCAGGACAACCUUAACUCCUACAAAAUCUUCCCACACCAAUCAAAGAGCACCCUUCGUAACAUACGUUUCCUAACCCCCACGCCGCACCCACGGGACUACUCUUCCAUCCCCCCGGAGAGUUAUCUACCCUUAGCUGGUACAACGAACGCUCCUAGAAUCUCCCCUUAAUACCGUUCAUACGUAGGCACAGCUAU